GACGAACCGGGCGAACGUUAUUCGGAAUCACUGGGCUUAAAGGGCGCGUAGGCGGGCUGACAAGUCUGGGGUGAAAUCCCACGGCUCAACCGUGGAACUGCCUUAGAUACUGUCGGCCUCGAGGAAGGUAGGGGCAUGCGGAACUGUAGGUGGAGCGGUGAAAUGCGUUGAUAUCUACAGGAACUCCGGUGGCGAAAGCGGCGUGCUGGACCUUUUCUGACGCUGAGGCGCGAAAGCUAGGGGAGCAAACGGG
Molecule: ribosomal RNA, 253 nt
Filed under: uncultured bacterium
Lineage: Bacteria
Description: partial 16S ribosomal RNA
Rfam family: Bacterial small subunit ribosomal RNA
Source: RNAcentral